UUGUAAACUCCUGUCAGAGGGAAUAAGCAAGUGAAGUACUCUAGAGGAAGGGGCGGUAAUUCCGUGCCAGCAGCCGCGGUAACACGGAAGCCCCGACGUGUCGGAUCAUUGGGCGUAAAGGGUGCGUAGGCGGCGCGGAAAGUCCGGCGUGAAAGGCAGAGGCUCAACCUACUGGACUGCCGUUGGAUACUUCCGUGCUUGAGGACUGGGAGGGGAGACUGGAAUUCACGGUGUAGCAGUGAAAUGCGUAGAUAUCGUGAGGAAGACCGGUGGCCGAAGGCGAGUCUCUGGACAGAUCCUGACGCUGAGGCACGAAGGCUGGGGGAGCGAACAGGAUUAGAUACCCUGGUAGUCCCAGCAGUUAAACGAUGUGAGCUUGAUGUGGGGGGAUUCGACCCCUUCCGUGUCGAAGCUAACGCGAUAAGCUCACCGCCUGAGGAGUACGGCCGCAAGGCUAAAACUCAAAGAAAUUGACGGGGACCCGCACAAGCGGUGGAGUAUGUGGCUUAAUUCGAUGCAACGCGAAGAACCUUACCUGGCCUUGACAUGCAUUGUGUCGUCGGUGAAAGCCGGCUAGUCCUGGAAACAGGACGCUUUGCACAGGUGCUGCAUGGCUGUCGUCAGCUCGUGUCGUGAGAUGUUGGGUUAAGUCCCGCAACGAGCGCAACCCUUGUGGUCAGUUACUAACCGGCUUAGCCGGAGGACUCUGGCCAGACUGCCCUGUCAAACGGGGAGGAAGGUGGGGACGACGUCAAGUCAGUAUGGCCCUUAUGGCCAGGGCUGCACACGUACUACAAUGCCCGGUACAAUGUGAACCGAAACCGCGAGGUGGAGGAAAUCGCUCUUGAAAACCGGGCCCAGUUCGGAUUGGAGUCUGCAACUCGACUCCAUGAAGUCGGAAUCGCUAGUAAUGGCGUAUCAGCAACGACGCCGUGAAUACGUUCCCGGGUCUUGUACACAUCGCCCGUCACAUCAUGGGAGUCUCCUGUACCCGAAGCACGUGCGCCAACCUUUUAGGAGGCAGCGUUCGAAGGUAUGGGAGGUAACUGGGAUGAAGUC
Molecule: ribosomal RNA, 1059 nt
Filed under: uncultured organism
Description: bacterial SSU rRNA
Rfam family: Bacterial small subunit ribosomal RNA
Source: RNAcentral